Long non-coding RNA from Pipra filicauda (Wire-tailed manakin), 593 nucleotides. RefSeq lists it as uncharacterized. The transcript is spliced from 3 exons. The record is from RefSeq and is a predicted model, not a curated record. Lineage: Eukaryota; Metazoa; Chordata; Aves; Passeriformes; Pipridae.
UGCAGACCGCACGCUCCCGGUCCGCCCCGCGUGAUUGCCUUGGGGGUGCCGGGAAGGGAACUGUGCCAGCUUAAAACUUUGGCUUAAGGACUGCAGAUCAUAAUUUUCCAGCAUGUUAUGUGAAUACAGAUGGAUCUUCUAUUUGUGGGAAAGAACUGCACAGUAAUAAGAAAUUUGAUCUGGAAGAAGAAAAUGAAGGGCAAUUUCAGCAUUGUCCUCAAGGCCGCACUCAAAGGGGAUGCAGGAAGCAGACUACAAAUCAUAGUUCAGUUUUGAACACCAAAGGAGAUCCAUGUGUUCAGACAGUCCAGUGGAUUAACCCCCUGCCAGUCCAGGUCUGCAUUUCCUCCCAGCUAUUAAUAUUUCUCUCCCUAGGUGGGCUUCUGAAACCCUCCCUGAAAGCAGGCUAAUGCUACGCGGGCUGUGGGGUGCUCUCAGACAAGGUCUGCAGAAGAAAAGGCUGUAUCAUGUCUGCACUCCCUAAGUCAUUCUCUAAAGCUGCCACUUGGAUAUUCCAGAGAUUGCCUGACAGAAAGAUGAAAGGCCAAAAAAAGAACAAAUGAACUUAAGAUACCUAUGUACUGACUACAGUU